GACAGAGGGUGCGAACGUUGUUCGGAAUUACUGGGCGUAAAGCGCAUGUAGGCGGCAACGCAAGUCGGGUGUGAAAUCCCACGGCUCAACCGUGGAAUUGCAUUCGAAACUGGAAGUCUUGAGUGUGGGAGAGAUUGGUAGAAUACCUGGUGUAGUGGUGAAAUACGUAGAUAUCAGGUGGAAUACCGAUGGCGAAGGCGGCCAAUUGGCCCAACACUGACGCUGAGAUACGAAAGCGUGGGGAUCAAACAGG
Molecule: ribosomal RNA, 253 nt
Filed under: uncultured bacterium
Lineage: Bacteria
Description: partial 16S ribosomal RNA
Rfam family: Bacterial small subunit ribosomal RNA
Source: RNAcentral